Molecule: ribosomal RNA, 484 nt
Filed under: uncultured bacterium
Lineage: Bacteria
Description: partial 16S ribosomal RNA
Rfam family: Bacterial small subunit ribosomal RNA
Source: RNAcentral
AUUGAACGCUGGCGGCAGGCCUAACACAUGCAAGUCGAGCGGAUGAAGGGAGCUUGCUCCUGGAUUCAGCGGCGGACGGGUGAGUAAUGCCUAGGAAUCUGCCUGGUAGUGGGGGAUAACGUCCGGAAACGGGCGCUAAUACCGCAUACGUCCUGCGGGAGAAAGUGGGGGAUCUUCGGACCUCACGCUAUCAGAUGAGCCUAGGUCGGAUUAGCUAGUUGGUGGGGUAAAGGCCUACCAAGGCGACGAUCCGUAACUGGUCUGAGAGGAUGAUCAGUCACACUGGAACUUAGACACGGUCCAGACUCCUACGGGAGGCAGCAGUGGGGAAUAUUGGACAAUGGGCGAAAGCCUGAUCCAGCCAUGCCGCGUGUGUGAAGAAGGUCUUCGGAUUGUAAAGCACUUUAAGUUGGGAGGAAGGGCAGUAAGUUAAUACCUUGCUGUUUUGACGUUACCAACAGAAUAAGCACCGGCUAACUUCGUG